GGGGUCGUCUUGGCUUCGACAGAAGUAUGCGUCUCUAUUUUGCAGGCCGAGUGCCUACGUAAAAGGCAAACCAAAAUAACUGGAAACAGAAAUAAUUUAGCGGUUGCAUACGCCUAGUUGGCGGUAACCACUUCUUUACUACUUUGCUUAUGAGUGGUAAUAGAAGUUAAUAAAAUAAGCUAUAAUGUGUUUAAUUCCUAUAGAACACAUCGAAUUUGAUAGGAUAAUAAAUAUUCUUUUUGUUAAUUUCUAAAAUAUUUAUGAUUUCUAAAAAUUAACUAAGCCUGUAGAUAAAUAUUGUACAAUUACUCUUGGACAGGGGUUCAACUCCCCUCGACUCCACCA
RNAcentral lists this transfer-messenger RNA (345 nucleotides) under Bacilli. Its description in RNAcentral is "RUG705 sp900321645 Standard tmRNA". It matches the Rfam family "transfer-messenger RNA". From Rfam's summary of the family: Bacterial tmRNA, also known as 10Sa RNA or SsrA, is named for its dual tRNA and mRNA-like properties. Its role is to liberate the mRNA from a stalled ribosome. To accomplish this part of the tmRNA is used as a reading frame that ends in a translation stop signal. The record is from RNAcentral. Lineage: Bacteria; Bacillati; Bacillota. RNAcentral also lists the same sequence under 1 other name.